CCUACGGGAGGCAGCAGUGAGGAAUAUUGGUCAAUGGCCGGAAGGCUGAACCAGCCAAGCCGCGUGAAGGAUGAAGGUACAGAGUAUCGUAAACCUCUUUUGUCAGGGAACAAAGGCGGGGACGUGUCCCCGGAGGAGUGUACCUGAAGAAAAAGCAUCGGCUAACUCCGUGCCAGCAGCCGCGGUAAUACGGAGGAUGCGAGCGUUAUCCGGAUUUAUUGGGUUUAAAGGGUGCGCAGGCGGUCUGUUAGGUCAGCGGUCAAAGCCCGGGGCACAACCCCGGCCCGCCGUUGAAACUGGCAGUCUCGAGUUGGAGAGAAGUAUGCGGAAUGCGCGGUGUAGCGGUGAAAUGCAUAGAUAUCGCGCAGAACUCCGAUUGCGAAGGCAGCAUGCCGGCUCCACACUGACGCUGAGGCACGAAAGCGUGGGUAUCGAACAGGAUUAGAUACCCGUGUAGUC
RNAcentral lists this ribosomal RNA (459 nucleotides) under uncultured bacterium. RNAcentral's name for it is "partial 16S ribosomal RNA". It matches the Rfam family "Bacterial small subunit ribosomal RNA", at positions 338 to 795 of the family's 1533-position model. The record is from RNAcentral.